CAGUCAUUACCGCGAGGCCAGCCCUCCUCACAACAGCAGCUGCCGCCUCAUGUUUCCUGGUAUUGUCGCUCUGAGUGGCUGCAAAACCGACAAACAGCUUUCCUCAAAAGCAACAGGUGUGCAAGGCCAAGUCGUUUAAAAGGUAUGACCAUCACGAAAGUCUAACCAGG
Long non-coding RNA from Haplochromis burtoni (Burton's mouthbrooder), 170 nucleotides. RefSeq lists it as uncharacterized. The record is from RefSeq and is a predicted model, not a curated record. The transcript is spliced from 2 exons. NCBI's taxonomy places the organism in Eukaryota, Metazoa, Chordata, Actinopteri, Cichliformes, Cichlidae.